GUAGGUGGCAAGCGUUGUCCGGAAUUAUUGGGCGUAAAGCGCGCGCAGGUGGUUCUUUAAGUCUGAUGUGAAAGCCCCCGGCUCAACCGGGGAGGGUCAUUGGAAACUGGGGAACUUGAGUGCAGGAGAGGAAAGUGGAAUCCACGUGUAGCGGUGAAAUGCGUAGAUAUGUGGAGGAACACCAGUGGCGAAGGCGACUUUCUGGCCUGUAACUGACACUGAGGCGCGAAAGCGUGGGGAGCAAACAGGGAUUAGAUACCCUGGUAGUCCACGCCGUAAACGAUGAGUGCUAAGUGUUGGGGGGGUUUCCCGCCCCUCAGUGCUGCAGCUAACGCAUUAAGCACUCCGCCUGGGGAGUACGGUCGCAAGACUG
Molecule: ribosomal RNA, 373 nt
Filed under: uncultured organism
Description: partial 16S ribosomal RNA
Rfam family: Bacterial small subunit ribosomal RNA
Source: RNAcentral